UUCAUGGACUUUUUUUUUUUUCCUUAGGGGGAAUGGGGAGUGCGUGAGAAUGACAUGAGCAUAAAUGCAACCUGCGCACUCUAUCAGCGGGACCGGAAAGCUCGCUGGUGUGUUUGGUCAUUUUUCUCUCUUCCCUGAUGAUUGACAGCCGCUCGUUUUGAUUUCUUCACUGCUUGGUGGUGUAGACGCACGCUGCACGUCUUCUUGUUCGUUGACUUUAUGCUGCUGGAGGAACACAUGCUUAAGGGGCAACAUGUGCCCUCUUUGGAAAGUUGUUCCAGGUAGUCAACACCUUACAGGUGCAGCUCAAACCUGCAGUUUUUCCUUCCACCUUCUGUACUUUUACUCUCAGGGGAAUGCUUAUGUGUGUAGCAUGUUCAAGCUCUGCCCUGACGCUGAGAUUCAACAAUCAGCACUGUUAAUUCUUUAAACACCAGGUUUCAGCAGUUGGUCACUGACAAUGCGACAUCAAUGGCUCUGCAAUAGCCUUCGCUGCCUGAGUAAAUGGGGAGAAUGGGCCUAUAAUGGACAUGAGGACGAGGAGUCAUUUGAAUCGCCUGUUGAUCACACCGCCCACCCAUUGAAGAUGGAGGGAGGGUUUUAUUGGGUGUUGUUUUAUCAGGUGCGAAUAAAGCAUCAGCUUUAUAAUUA
Etheostoma cragini (Arkansas darter) is the source of this 651-nucleotide long non-coding RNA. RefSeq lists it as uncharacterized. The transcript is spliced from 2 exons. The record is from RefSeq and is a predicted model, not a curated record. Lineage: Eukaryota; Metazoa; Chordata; Actinopteri; Perciformes; Percidae.